UCAGAAAUGGUCAUGGAAGAAAAAUCAAAAAACAUGACUAGCAAACUUUAAAAAAAAAUAAAAAAAUAAAAAAUAAACUAUUGCUUCUUUUAUCUCACCAAGGCCUUUCUGCAGCUGGGGAAAUGAUUAAGAAGGCUCUGUAGAACAGAAAAUCUGAGAAAUCCUGUAAAAUUCAAUUUUAUUAUUUUAGAGGUUUCUGAGCAGUUAUGUAGUCCUUUUGAAGCUCAAUUAUAAUUCAUCAGGAGGAGGCAAAGGAGAAAGAUUUUAAAUCUUCCUUGGAAAUAGGAGUUACAGAGGGACUGGAUAUAGAAUAAAGAUAAUGAGAUCUUUCUGUCCCUUAUAUAGCCAGUGAAGAUGCUUCAUGUAAUUCUUAAAUGAGUACUUAGUUCUAACAUAUUUUAGAUAAAGUUCCCCAAAUUUCUCAUUUGUAAAACCACUCUGAGUUUUCAUGGAAGAAAAAACAGCAACAACAAUGACGACUUAUUCAAAACAAAAUUAAAAGAACCUAAGAAACUGUGGGCAUCAUUUCAGUGAUACGUGCUUCCAUUUAUAGUGUUUCCUUUGAGGAUCUCAGCAGACAUGAAUCGAACUUCACAAUGACUAUGUCAAAUAUUUUGGAUUAUUUCUAGAACAAUCACAACUAUUUGCAGUCAGAAAAUACUGAUUUGUCAAAAAGAGAAUAAUGUCUUACUCUGCUGGUCUUUGUAAAGAUUUGUCUUGAUAACAUGGCAUGUGUUGGACUGAUAAAAUUCAUGUUUUGACUUUUCCAGCUGUCAAAUAAUAUUAUAUCCCGAUACAGAAUAUGUAGGAAUGAUGGAAGUUCAACAGAGGAAUCCUAGAAUCCAUUUUUACACCAGUAAAAGCUGAAGGGAAGCUCAAACAUUGUGAAGUCUAAUGCUGUUCAUGGAACAUUUCAGAUUACUGAGUGUUUUGUCCAAGUGCAGCCUAAAAUUCUGAAGUACCAGCACUUCUGCCUUCUGCUUCAUAAAAUGAGUUAGAUAAACCUCAUAGUCAGGAUGCGUCUC
Molecule: long non-coding RNA, 1025 nt
Filed under: Anas platyrhynchos platyrhynchos (common mallard)
Lineage: Eukaryota; Metazoa; Chordata; Aves; Anseriformes; Anatidae
Description: lncRNA (ENSAPLG00000030847.1)
Source: RNAcentral